Molecule: ribosomal RNA, 496 nt
Filed under: uncultured bacterium
Lineage: Bacteria
Description: partial 16S ribosomal RNA
Rfam family: Bacterial small subunit ribosomal RNA
Source: RNAcentral
AUGAACGCUGGCGGCGUGCCUCAUACAUGCAAGUCGAGCGAACAGACGAGGAGCUUGCUCCUCUGACGUUAGCGGCGGACGGGUGAGUAACACGUGGAUAACCUACCUAUAAGACUGGGGUAACUUCGGGAAACCGGAGCUAAUACCGGAUAAUAUAUUGAACCGCAUGGUUCAAUAGUGAAAGACGGUUUUGCUGUCACUUAUAGAUGGAUCCGCGCCGCAUUAGCUAGUUGGUAAGGUAACGGCUUACCAAGGCAACGAUGCGUAGCCGACCUGAGAGGGUGAUCGGCCACACUGGAACUGAGACACGGUCCAGACUCCUACGGGAGGCAGCAGUAGGGAAUCUUCCGCAAUGGGCGAAAGCCUGACGGAGCAACGCCGCGUGAGUGAUGAAGGUCUUCGGAUCGUAAAACUCUGUUAUUAGGGAAGAACAAAUGUGUAAGUAACUAUGCACGUCUUGACGGUACCUAAUCAGAAAGCCACGGCUAACUACGUG